GUGGGGAAUAUUGGACAAUGGGCGCAAGCCUGAUCCAGCCAUGCCGCGUGAGUGAUGAAGGCCUUAGGGUUGUAAAGCUCUUUCACCGAUGAAGAUAAUGACGGUAGUCGGAGAAGAAGCCCCGGCUAACUUCGUGCCAGCAGCCGCGGUAAUACGAAGGGGGCUAGCGUUGUUCGGAUUUACUGGGCGUAAAGCGCACGUAGGCGGUUUGUUAAGUCAGGGGUGAAAUCCCGGAGCUCAACUCCGGAACUGCCUUUGAUACUGGCAAGCUAGAGUCCGGAAGAGGUAAGUGGAACUCCUAGUGUAGAGGUGGAAUUCGUAGAUAUUAGGAAGAACACCAGUGGCGAAGGCGGCUUACUGGUCCGGAACUGACGCUGAGGUGCGAAAGCGUGGGGAGCAAACAGGAUUAGAAACCCUGGUAGUCC
RNAcentral lists this ribosomal RNA (425 nucleotides) under uncultured bacterium. RNAcentral's name for it is "bacterial SSU rRNA". It matches the Rfam family "Bacterial small subunit ribosomal RNA", at positions 354 to 796 of the family's 1533-position model. The record is from RNAcentral.